GCUGUUGGCAUCUGGCAAUGUGGUUCUUACAUGAGAACAGUGGCUGGUGUGGUCUGGACCGACAACACCACCUCUGCUGUCACAGUGAAAUCUGCC
RNAcentral lists this microRNA precursor (96 nucleotides) under Nannospalax galili (Upper Galilee mountains blind mole rat). RNAcentral describes it as "miRNA (ENSNGAG00000001637.1)". Lineage: Eukaryota; Metazoa; Chordata; Mammalia; Rodentia; Spalacidae. The record is from RNAcentral.